Anas platyrhynchos (mallard) is the source of this 3821-nucleotide non-coding RNA. The record is from RefSeq and is a predicted model, not a curated record. Lineage: Eukaryota; Metazoa; Chordata; Aves; Anseriformes; Anatidae.
GAGAGGAGAGGAGAGGAGAGGAGAGGAGAGGAGAGGAGAGACAUCCAUGGGGGAGGGCAGAAGCCUUGGGAUUUCCCCCCAGAUGUGUGCCACAGGGCAGGAGGCUCAAAUGAGAAAGGCAUGGGCCAAGCUUGGCACAUGAAGCAGCUCAAAUGACUGCCCCUCCCUGGGAGCGAACAAACCUCAGCAAUUCAGUAAUCCUCCCCCUGGGACAUGUAGCUAUGCAUCUGGAUUUUUAAACACCAUUUUUUUACAUUCUUUAUAAUAUAAACACAUGUAUGCACAUAAAACUCGAGAGACCUUUUCUUGAAGAUGUUUAAAUAUGGUUGGGAAGCUGUCCCACUUCCCUGCCGGCAGGGCCCCGACAUGGCUCUCAUGUCCAGAUGAUGGCCCUGACAUGGCUGUCGUGUCCUUCCUUUCUCCACCGAUGUCUUCAAGAGACAGUGGAGGUUUUGUGCUUGCUGCAGUCCCUCAGGAUCUGCUGAGGCAAGGGAUGAACCUCCACAGGAUACACUGGACGAGGUGUGUCCAUGCUGACCCCAUGGCAGGAGCUCUGCCAUGUCAGGGAGCUGCGUGAAAAGGGAGGCCUGCCACCCAUUGGUGCCAUGUCAGGAGUGGCAGGACCCCAAAGUGCCACAGGUCCCAGCACAAAGCUGCUGCAGGGGGCACAGGCACGACACAACACCUGGCCCAACACCGAGGCCCACCCACAAGUGCAGCGUUGGCUUGUUGGGAUGGUGACAGGACCGAACAAGGCCCAUGGCUUCUCCAGGACACCAUGACCAAGGCAAGGUCCGACGGUCCUCCCUGAAAAGCCGGCAUUUCCCGACUUUGAGUCCUAAAAACACUCAUCACCGGACACUCGAGGAGGCAGACCCGAGUGAUUAAACCAGCAGGAAAAUGCCAGAGAGGAGAUGAUUUCACUGCACUACUGAAAGCACAUUUCGGCAGAUAAGCCUAGCAACAGGGGCCCUGUCUCCAGGCUGGCUCCCAGCAAGGAGCUCCUGCUGCAGCUCCCUGUCAGCCCACCGCACUGCUGCGGGUGAGUGAAUGAAUGAAGAAAUAAAUAACCUAUCGCAGCCUUCGUGCAAUAAGCCGAAUAUUAGCAUGUGGCUCUCAAGACGACCUUUAUCGAAGGAAGCAGCAUUUACAGGGGAGAAAAAUUAUCUAAAAAUAAACGAUUAUCGCUCGUGUAUACAUAGAAAUACCGAGGGCAAGAUAUGGCUUUCUAUAACAUGAAAUGACUCAUUUUCCCCCUGAAGUUUUAGUGAGUGUCGAAGAUAUGCACUUCUAAGAGUGAAUCACUCCAAAUGGCCACUGGGUGACUGGCUGGGAUUGAACUAAUCUUGGGGAGGAGAGCUGACGUAAGAGCCAUGGGACUGGGAAUGCACGGGCUAUUUGCAGGGCAAGGAUGGCAGGCAUUAGCACUCAGUUGUCACUAGUAAAUCUUAGAUUGCUUUGACAGGUGGCAGAUUGCAAGACGUGAACGGCUACAGCUUCCAGGGGAACACUCUUUUCAUGGAAAGUGGGAUGAGGCCAAGGGAACAGCCCGUAUUUCUUUUUUAUGUGUGUGCGCAAACACACACACACGUGUAUAUAUAGCUGUAAAAAAUAAAGCGUAUCUUUUAUGGAUAAGUAAACUAACUUGAACCCUCGUUUAUAUUUGCUAGCUAAACCCAGGAGUAAGAGCUCAAGCCUUCUGGAAGCAAAGCUCAAUUGCCAGCCUCCAGAACAAGCCAAAAAAAAAAGUUAUGGUGAGUUAUCUACAAGCCUCAUUAAGCACGAGAGAAUCCAAUGGCUCCCCAGAUAUUCGUGAGAGAGCGUGAGUCUGGAUUCAAACCACUCCUGGGACAAGCACUGACCAGAUUGUGGUGUCUGAAGUGUUUUCCAGCCACCCCUGUGAGUAUACCUUACAUACGCAUAAAUAUCAGCUUCGUGUUGGAUCCAUGUCCAGAGGAGGGAAGUGAAAGAGAAGCAAGCCAUGCCUUUUCAGACGAGCUCAUGGCUUUUAGCAGUCUCCCUUCACACACUGCUUACAGCAGCCUGGCUGAUAGGGAAAGAAAGAUCCCAAGAAAGCCCUGCCAUCCGGAGGAACUCAGCCGCCUCCAUAAGCAAUGUAAGCACAGCUGUGCUUUGCAGUAGCAAAUGCCAGCCAUGCAACUGAUCGCACAGUUAAAACAGGCUGCAGCAGCAAUGCACCAAUGCUGUGUAAAUGGCUGGACUGUGCAAGCUCAUGUCAUACUGCCAGCUACUUGUAGCCCCCUGCCUGAUGGAUGUGUGGGUGGCUUAUACCUGGUGAAUGCAGUCGCUGAGCUGGGCUCUCACACACACUUUGCACCUUGCUAAGGAACUGCCUGGUAUGGCUGGGUCUUCUGUUCUCCAGCCCCAUGGAGAGCAGCCAACACGGCUUGCCCUGCAUUUCAUAGGGAUGUUUGUGGAAACAAGUGACACUGGGGUACAAGUUUUGCUGUGGGCUAUAAGAAAACAUGAAAAUCGAGCCAAACUGAUUCAAGCCAAACUUGUUACGAGUGAAUGUUUCCUCAGAGGACAGAGCUGUCAAGCAGAAGGUCUCUUGGAGAACAGGAGAAACCUCUUUUGACUCACACCAUCUGCCAGAAAGGAUGAAAUACUGGAAGGAGUUUGAGAAUGACAUGCGGGUAUUCCCAGCACUGCCAUGGUGAUUUUAUGUGACCUAGGUGCAGUGGUUUGGCCCCUCUGUGAACCAUAAGCUUUGCCUGCCCUCCCAAGGCAGAGAUGACAGGAAUGCCUGUGGUUUCACCCCCUCCUAGCACACCAGACAGGUAGGGAUUUUAAGCCGAUGAAUUAUUUGCUGCAAACAUUCUUUUCCACUUUGCUAAUUGUUCCCAUACCCGCUUGGGCGGCUGUAAAUGUGUUUGUGAUUACUGCAGAAGAGAGGGAUGCAGCUGUGCUCCAGCCCCAUGCAAACCCUUCACACCACGAGGCUGCAGUCAGCCCCUGUCCCACAGCACAGAGCUGUGCAGCUGCACAUCCACAGCCAGCUGCUGCUGCAGGGAAAGGGCCAGCCUCGCUAACGAGCCUCACACGGGAGCACGACAGGAGGGCAAACCACUCGUUUUUUUUGCUGACAUGGAGUUAUUCAGUUGCACUUCCCAGUCCCAUGGUACCUCGUAGCCAAAGCCACAAAGAAACCCCAAACUAACCUGAUGAACUGUUCCAAAUACUGGUAUGUUUUCAUUUCCCCUUCCUGAAAACAGUCAUAUAAAAAUCACAUGAAGCCCUCUAGCCUCAAGAAAGUGGAGCCCUCAACAGCGAGUAACUCAUGGUUUCUAAAGAAGUGAAAGUUUCUGGGUUCUUUGGGGAAGAAUUUCACCAGCUCUGCUCUUACUGUGAUGCGGCUUAUCUAGAGGGAAAGAUACUGUACACAGAUACAGACAAACUGGUUUCCAACCCCAAAUCUGUGAUUCCAGACCAAGUGGAGAAAUAUGAAAACAUCCCAGGGAUUUUAAAAGCCAUGGAUUCAAACCUGGAAAAACUCCAGCACUGGAGUUUUUGGUGGGGAGAGAUUUGGAGCCUUACUGACGACGAUAACUGUGAAAAGAAGAAAAUGUGUUUUGGAUCUGUACCUGUCUGACUACAAAGGCAUGACCAUGCCAGCAGCCUGCAGCUCUCACGGCCACAGCGGAGCGAUGCAUUCACAGGCCGGGUCAGAUUGAUGUGCAGUAUUUGGAGCCACGGGGUAUUCUCUACAAUUACUCCUUGCUGCUGCAAAUUAGCACGCUCCUCACUUUAACGGGGAGCUGUUGCCGUCAGCUGAGGCGGGAUCUGCAAAGGUUCCUGUG